GAUGAACGCUGGCGGCGUGCCUAAUACAUGCAAGUCGAGCGAACAGACGAGGUGCUUGCUCCUCUGACGUUAGCGGCGGACGGGUGAGUAACACGUGGAUAACCUACCUAUAAGACUGGGAUAACUUUGGGAAACCGGAGCUAAUACCGGAUAAUAUAUUGAACCGCAUGGUUCAAUAGUGAAAGACGGUUUUGCUGUCACUUAUAGAUGGAUCCGCGCCGCAUUAGCUAGUUGGUAAGGUAACGGCUUACCAAGGCAACGAUGCGUAGCCGACCUGAGAGGGUGAUCGGCCACACUGGAACUGAGACACGGUCCAGACUCCUACGGGAGGCAGCAGUAGGGAAUCUUCCGCAAUGGGCGAAAGCCUGACGGAGCAACGCCGCGUGAGUGAUGAAGGUCUUCGGAUCGUAAAACUCUGUUAUUAGGGAAGAACAAAUGUGUAAGUAACUAUGCACGUCUUGACGGUACCUAAUCAGAAAGCCACGGCUAACUACGUG
RNAcentral lists this ribosomal RNA (497 nucleotides) under uncultured bacterium. RNAcentral's name for it is "partial 16S ribosomal RNA". It matches the Rfam family "Bacterial small subunit ribosomal RNA", at positions 28 to 507 of the family's 1533-position model. The record is from RNAcentral.